Molecule: ribosomal RNA, 234 nt
Filed under: uncultured bacterium
Lineage: Bacteria
Description: partial 16S ribosomal RNA
Rfam family: Bacterial small subunit ribosomal RNA
Source: RNAcentral
UGAGUAACCUGCCCUUAACUCUGGGAUAAGCCUGGGAAACUGGGUCUAAUACCGGAUAUGACUCCUCAUCGCAUGGUGGGGGGUGGAAAGCUUUAUUGUGGUUUUGGAUGGACUCGCGGCCUAUCAGCUUGUUGGUGAGGUAAUGGCUCACCAAGGCGACGACGAGUAGCCGGCCUGAGAGGGUGACCGGCCACACUGGGACUGAGACACGGCCCAGACCUCCGUACGGGGAGG